AGAUUGAACGCUGGCGGCGUGCCUAACACAUGCAAGUCGAGCGGUAACAGGUGUAGCAAUACAUGCUGACGAGCGGCGGACGGGUGAGUAACGCUUGGGAAUCUGCCUGAUAGUGGGGGACAACCCGGGGAAACUCGGGCUAAUACCGCAUACGCACUACGGUGGAAAGCCGGGGACCGCAAGGCCUGGCGCUAUCAGAUGAGCCCAAGUCGGAUUAGCUAGUUGGUAGGGUAACGGCCUACCAAGGCGACGAUCCGUAACUGGUCUGAGAGGACGACCAGUCACACCGGAACUGAGACACGGUCCGGACUCCUACGGGAGGCAGCAGUGGGGAAUAUUGGACAAUGGGCGAAAGCCUGAUCCAGCGACGCCGCGUGGUGAAGAAGGCCUGCGGUUGUAAACGGCCUUUCGGUGGGAAGAAAAGCCUCGAGUUAAUACCUCGGGUCUUGACGUAACCAUAGAAGAAGCACGGCUAACUCUGCACCAGCAGCGC
This 493-nucleotide ribosomal RNA is filed under the name uncultured soil bacterium. RNAcentral's name for it is "bacterial SSU rRNA". It matches the Rfam family "Bacterial small subunit ribosomal RNA", at positions 26 to 518 of the family's 1533-position model. The record is from RNAcentral.